CUUCACCGAACCGAGCCACAACGGCUCUUCACGGUCCUGCCCGUAGGUGGCGAGCAGAGCCUGCGCCUC
Molecule: non-coding RNA, 69 nt
Organism: Amycolatopsis orientalis HCCB10007
Lineage: Bacteria; Bacillati; Actinomycetota; Actinomycetes; Pseudonocardiales; Pseudonocardiaceae
Rfam family: ASpks TB sRNA
Source: Rfam